Molecule: long non-coding RNA, 343 nt
Organism: Myotis davidii
Lineage: Eukaryota; Metazoa; Chordata; Mammalia; Chiroptera; Vespertilionidae
Exons: 3
Source: RefSeq, a predicted model, not a curated record
UCGCGCUGCCUGUGCAGGUUCACACAUUGCUGCCUCCAUCUCGGCAGGAAGGUCCGCGGAGGUCAACACGGGCGGGCGAGGGGCCAUGGUUGGCGUGGCCACUCCAUGCGCAAGCAUGAGACCCAGUAAGCCACAGCAUGGAGCACUUAUUGGGUGCUGGCACGUGGGGGCUCCCAGACUGGCCCCUGACCACUGUGUUUGAGGAGUCCUGACAGCUUGAGGUGGCAGAGACCCCCCCCUCCAGGAGCAAGGGACAAAGCUCACGUCUGUCUGUGUGGAGGGGGACACUGAGGCUCAGCCAGGCUGGAAACAGAGGGGCAGUAGGACCGAGGGGCAUCCUGCA